GUCACAGAGGUCAAGGUUUUGCUGGCAGGGUCUGAUGAGCUUUGGUACGAAACAAACAUGGCAGUGGAACACAAGGGUGCCAGAACUCUGGAUCUGCCAGUUACUCUGAACACUCUGCCUGUGUUCCAGCGUGGGGGGACAGUGGUGCCCAGGAGAGCAGGUUGUGGGUCCAGUACAACAGACUUACAGCAGCACCCAAUCACUCUCACAGUGGCCCUGGACACUAAGGUGACACAUGACAGCACAACAGAAAUACUGGGUGGCACCAUAAUACAGGUCAGGGAUGGAAUCACAUUUUAAUACCAAUAUAUACACUAUACUAUUCAAAAGUCUAGGGUCAGUAAGUGAAAUUAAUAUUUUUAUUUAGUAAAAGAUGCAUUAAAUAGAUCACAAGUGACAGUCAAGAAAUGUAUGAUGUUAAAAAAGAUUUAUGUUUCAA
Molecule: long non-coding RNA, 439 nt
Organism: Carassius auratus (goldfish)
Lineage: Eukaryota; Metazoa; Chordata; Actinopteri; Cypriniformes; Cyprinidae
Exons: 3
Source: RefSeq, a predicted model, not a curated record